RNAcentral lists this transfer RNA (74 nucleotides) under Gaiella sp. RNAcentral describes it as "tRNA-Thr". It matches the Rfam family "tRNA". From Rfam's summary of the family: Transfer RNA (tRNA) molecules are approximately 80 nucleotides in length. Their secondary structure includes four short double-helical elements and three loops (D, anti-codon, and T loops). The record is from RNAcentral. RNAcentral also lists the same sequence under 2 other names. Lineage: Bacteria; Bacillati; Actinomycetota; Thermoleophilia; Gaiellales; Gaiellaceae.
GCCGGAGUAGCUCAGCUGGUCAGAGCACCGCUCUUGUAAAGCGGGGGCCAAGGGUUCGAAUCCCUUCUCCGGCU